CAGUAGCCGCGGGAAUACGAAGGGGGCAAGCGUUGUUCGGGUUUACUGGGCGUAAAGCGUACGUAGGCGGAUAUUUAAGUCAGGGGUGAAAUCCCGAGGCUCAACCUCGGAACUGCCUUUGAUACUGGGUAUCUUGAGUCCGAGAGAGGUGAGUGGAACUCCUAGUGUAGAGGUGAAAUUCGUAGAUAUUAGGAAGAACACCAGUGGCGAAGGCGGCUCACUGGCUCGGAACUGACGCUGAGGUACGAAAGCGUGGGGAGCAAACAGGAUUAGAUACCCCAGUAGUCCCUGUCUCUUAUAU
This 301-nucleotide ribosomal RNA is filed under the name uncultured bacterium. RNAcentral describes it as "partial 16S ribosomal RNA". It matches the Rfam family "Bacterial small subunit ribosomal RNA", at positions 509 to 809 of the family's 1533-position model. The record is from RNAcentral.